Molecule: ribosomal RNA, 253 nt
Filed under: uncultured bacterium
Lineage: Bacteria
Description: partial 16S ribosomal RNA
Rfam family: Bacterial small subunit ribosomal RNA
Source: RNAcentral
UACGAAGGGGGCUAGCGUUGCUCGGAAUCACUGGGCGUAAAGCGCACGUAGGCGGCUUUUUAAGUCAGGGGUGAAAUCCCUCGGCUCAACCGGGGAACUGCGUCUGAUACUGGAUGGCUUGAAUUCGGGAGAGGGAUGCGGAAUUCCAGGUGUAGCGGUGAAAUGCGUAGAUAUCUGGAGGAACACCGGUGGCGAAGGCGGCAUCCUGGACCGAGAUUGACGCUGAUGCGCGAAAGCCAGGGGAGCAAACGGG